RNAcentral lists this ribosomal RNA (561 nucleotides) under uncultured Rhodospirillaceae bacterium. RNAcentral describes it as "bacterial SSU rRNA". It matches the Rfam family "Bacterial small subunit ribosomal RNA", at positions 337 to 917 of the family's 1533-position model. The record is from RNAcentral. Lineage: Bacteria; Pseudomonadati; Pseudomonadota; Alphaproteobacteria; Rhodospirillales; Rhodospirillaceae.
UCCUACGGGAGGCAGCAGUGAGGAAUAUUGGACAAUGGGGGCAACCCUGAUCCAGCCAUGCCGCGUGCGCGAUGAAGGCCUUAGGGUUGUAAAGCGCUUUCGCCCGUGAAGAUGAUGACUGUAACGGGAUAAGAAGCCCCGGCUAACUCCGUGCCAGCAGCCGCGGUAAUACGGAGGGGGCUAGCGUUGUUCGGAAUUACUGGGCGUAAAGGGCGCGUAGGCGGCCGAGUUAGUUGGGGGUGAAAGGCCUGGGCUCAACCUAGGAACUGCCUCCAAAACUACUCGGCUAGAGACCGGGAGAGGAUGGUGGAAUUCCCAGUGUAGAGGUGAAAUUCGUAGAUAUUGGGAAGAACACCAGUGGCGAAGGCGGCCAUCUGGACCGGAUCUGACGCUGAGGCGCGAAAGCGUGGGGAGCAAACAGGACUAGAUACCCUGGUAGUCCACGCCGUAAACGAUGUCAGCUAGACGUUGGGGGUUUCGCCUUCAGUGUCGCAGCUAACGCAUUAAGCUGACCGCCUGGGGAGUACGGCCGCAAGGCUAAAACUCAAAGGAAUUGACGGA